RNAcentral lists this ribosomal RNA (321 nucleotides) under Fascaplysinopsis sp. r DE-2023. RNAcentral's name for it is "partial large subunit ribosomal RNA". The record is from RNAcentral. Lineage: Eukaryota; Metazoa; Porifera; Demospongiae; Dictyoceratida; Thorectidae.
CGUGGUGACGGAGAUCGUCCCAUGCCGUCAGCUCGAGGGAGUGCCGUACUCCUCGUGAACACGGACCAGCAGCGGUUGGACUGAAGCCAAAAGGCAGCAGCGGAAGGUGAGUUGAUGUGGGCUUGCUCGCAUUGACAGCUUAUAGCCCUGCUGCAUGGCGCUCCGGUCCGACCGAGGAAGUUGGGCAGCCCUUGCCCGYUGUGGUACACGCCGAAUGGCGGGGCCUCCCAACACGAGUUAUCCGUGCGGUGUGGACUGCAYGCAGUGCUCGCCGUCACGGUGAUCUCGUGGUGGUGAGUGUCACUUGUGUACCAGUGCUGC